AUCAUUUGUGAAUAUUUUUUCUCUCUUCUUUGGAAAAAAUCCAUUAUUGAAAUGAGUAAAAUGCUCAACGGUGACACGUGCAGGGCAGGCAAGAGGGGAAAGGGUAGUGUGUAAGGUGAUGAGAGGAGAGCAGAGGACAGGCUCCUGCUGCCCUCAUUACAUGUAAAAUGAAAAUAACAAACCUUGAUCUGUAUGUUCCCAGUGUCUACAGGCCUAUAUCCAAGCUGCCUUUUAUUUCAAAAAUUUUAUAGAAAGUUGGUGCCAGCAGCUCACUGCUGUCUUGACUACACACAUUUUAGACAAGUUCCAAUCAGGUUUCCGUCAGAAGCAUUCCAUUGCAACUGCUAAGAGUGUCCAAUGACAUAAUGAUGUCUUCUGAUGUGGGUGAGUGCUCCAUUUUGGUGCUGCUGGAUCUUAGCCCAGCUUUUGACACUGUGGAUCACAGAAUAAUGAUAGAAAGGCUUAAACAGUGGGUGUGUGUCUCAGGGAGCACCCUGGACUGGUUUUCCUCCUACCUCUCAGAUAGGAGUUUUUCUGUCACUCAGACUUGAUGCUCUUUCCUGUGGUGCGCCUCAAGGUUCCAUCUUGGGUCCUUUUUAUUUGCUUUAUAUAUGCUUCCCUUAGGUCAUGUUAUUAGCAAAUUUAGAGAUAUAUUCUAUCACUCUUACGCUGACGAUAUUCAGCUCUAUGCCUCUUUUAAGCCUGAUAACUUCAACAAACUGUCUGUGUUGCACAACUGUCUGACUGCAGUAUUUCCGCUGAUAACAUUUUGGAGUUUGCCACCAGAGCAAAAAAAAAAACAACAACAAACACACAAACACACAAAAGAAAAAUUCCUGCCUCUGCGGACACAUUACAGAAUUCAGCGCAUGCAUUACGGGUCCAACUAACUAUCUUAAAUUAAAGAAAAGAAAAUGAGCUUACUUAAGUAUUUUCUAAGGAAAAGAAAAGCAUGAGGUAGGUAAACAGAGCAGACAUUUAGGAGGAGACAAAUUAUUUCUCUCUAAUACUGAUAACAUACAUGGUUUCAUCGCUGCUGCUCUUAUCCCAGAUGACUCCAUGUAUGCUAUCAGUGUUAGCGGUUGCUAAAUAAAGUCCUCCCAGAUUAACUGGCGUUCAACACGCGAGAUGCUGCACAGUGGGCAGGAUACUCCAGAGCCGCCGGACUGGACCCAGGCAGCCACCCAACAUUCAAUACACACACAUCGAAGUUUAAAGCAAGAAGGGCCUAGCCUCAUAAAAAAGGAAAAACGUGAACAUAGCGCAGUUGUGGCGGUUUCUUGCCAUUCCCCACUGUUGGCUUGUCUGUAGUGCGGUACUGCAAUAUUGUGCUUAUUGCGACAGCCCUAGUUAUAGUAAUAGUUACUGAAAGCACAGCCUUUCAGUAACUAUUAUAUUACAACCUGAGCUUAUCUACACACUUUAUGACUGAUUAAAGUAAUGUGAAUACUGCUAAUGGCGUAUACUUUUCUGUGGCUGCAGCAACGUGCUGGUACUUCUCUCACACACUGGAAGAGACUCACUUCCCACAACGAGCCCGCUAGACUGAGUCACACACACACGUAACAAAGGUGCAGUUACGCUGUUGUUAUGUUGUUGAGUGAAGCACUGGAGACGGGCAAACUGUUGAGGACUUUAUGUAGCAACCGCUAACACUGAUAGCAUAUCUGGUUUUAUCUGCACUCACCCUACCUCUUUCACUCUACUUCUCUGUACGUCAUUCUGCAGUCUUCUACUUCUACACAGUCCCACAGUAACAGUGCACAGCAUCAACAUGCACAUUAAGCACCUCUGUGUUUAUUAACACAACAGCUAUUGGUGUAACCUAGCUUGUAAAAAAAAAAAGUAGUUAUUACUGUCACUGAAAAAUAACUAUAUUAAUUCAUAUAAUUAUUAAGUGUUUGUUUACCUUGAUAGACAGAGAGGGAACAUGGAUUGAAUAUGGGGAUGGAAGAGAACAGGAGAACUCAAGGAGUGACAGAUGAGGAGAGAGAGGAGAGGAAGCAAGGAGAGGAAAAUGUACAGGCAAGGGGAGCAGGAGAGGAGUAGGCAGAGGAAAGAGAGAAAGAUGAGACAAGCUUCCAAAAAACCUCUAAACACAGGAAGUCUGGAUGGGAACCAGAUUGGCCUAAUAUACCAAGAUACAAGCCUUGGCUGUACCAUACUUCAAAUGAUUGGAAGAAACACAAACUACAGAUCUCAUUUCAUAAUCGAUGAAAUGGUGGAGGUCCUUGCUGUGGCGGUGGAGGAGCCCGUCCUCAAAGCAAUACAGGCAUCUGUGGCCAUAGGACUUGAGGCUGAUGAGAGCACAGACGUUGCCAUCAUGGGCCAGUUGGAUCUGCGAGACAGCUACUAAAAGCAAAAAAUUUAUGUAAUUAUCAACCGGUAUUGCGGUAAUCCCUAAUUUAAUAGUCUUCUAUGAAAAUGCUUUAAUCAUUUUCAGAUACAUGGACCAAGAGGGGAAACUGUGGAGUGUGUUCCUAGACCUCGUCACGGUGCCAGAUGGGAGGUCAAACACAAUAGUGGUUGCAUUCAAGGGGGUUCUCCAGAAAAAGAACUUCCCCACACACAAACUGUUUGGGCUGGGGACUUAUGGAGCAGCUGUGAUGACACAUCAAAAAAUCUAUUUACAUACCUGGAUUCUUACUAGUAGGCUAUAUUAUGUGAUACAAAUAUGUAUUUACUCGAUUAAAGCAGAACAGCAUACUGGGGUUGCCAAACAGCUGCAGGACGAAUUCCCAUGGAUGGUGUCUGUUGCAUGUAAAGAUGCAUCCAGCACCGUGCCAUACAGGGAUACAUUUAAUGAGCACCUGCAGCAGCUUCAGAUUUAUUUCAAAAAUAGCUGCAACAGGACUGCUGUCCUUCAAGCAGCAUCAAAGGCCUGAUUUGACUGUGUAGGUAAUAGAAAAUUUUAAUAGUAAUUUAAUAGAAAAUGACAAAUGUCAAUAAUCAUUAUAAAUAAGAUUACAUCUGUAAUACAACUCCAGAACUGUUUGACCUAAUCAAUCUACCUUUAUUGUUAUCUCCUUAAUUUACGCUUUAGGAGGUCAAAGACACUCGCUGGCUGUCCAAGCACCAGGCCAUCACCAAUUUACAACAGAACCUCAGCACUAUGUUGGCAGCAUUAGCUGAGGAGGUGGAGGUAAACCAGUGCCUGCUGGCAAAAGGGCUGUACAAUUUUUGUGCCACAUACUGAUUUGUGGCAGCUGUAUACAUGUAAGCGGAUGUGCUGCCCCACCUGUCAAGGCUCUCAAAGAUCUUCCAAAAAAAGAGCAGUUCAACUUUCUGGCUAUUGGACAGCAGGGAUGCCUACAACUACUGUACAUUGUACAUACAAGUACAGUCACCAAUAAUUAAACUAUUCUUCAACUCAAUAUUGAAAUUAUGUAAGUUUCAAGCAAAAAAACUACAACAAAAAAACAGAAACAUCUUGUUUUAGGUCCCUGUGACUAUGGCUUCUAGAAAAUACAUUAAAAAUGCCAGUGAUUCCCAGCCCCCUGGUUCUUUCUUGGGAAAGUUACACCAGGACCUAGAUGACCCCAGAGGUCUUGGUGUCUUCAGCAUUAGGAAUGAAGAGGAGAGGAGGAGCAGAGGAAAAUAACAAAGACAGGGAGGGAUGACUAGGGAGCAACUCUGGGCAAGGUUCAGGGAGCAAAUCAUGGAUGCCGACAUGAUGCCCAAAAUGAUGAGUGGGGCCAGCUCUACCCAUGCCUCAGCCAACUAGCAGCCAUUGUGCUCACGGUGCCUGUUUCCUCUAUGAAUUGUGAAGACAAACCUAAGGAACAGACUGCAAGGAGAGCACCUAGCAGCCUGCAUUCGGCUGUCUAUUAAUGGGCCUCCCCUCAAGGACUUCCCAUAUCAAAGGGCCAUGGAAGCAUUCGAUGAGAAGCCCCUAAGAGCAAAAUGCUCCAACAAAUCCUGCAAUCUUUGUGUCAAUAAACAAUA
Thunnus maccoyii (southern bluefin tuna) is the source of this 3945-nucleotide long non-coding RNA. RefSeq lists it as uncharacterized. The record is from RefSeq and is a predicted model, not a curated record. Lineage: Eukaryota; Metazoa; Chordata; Actinopteri; Scombriformes; Scombridae. The transcript is spliced from 4 exons.